CCCUUAGAUGCCCGGGGCUGCACGCGCGCUACACUGGAGAAAUCAGCAUGCCUUCAUACCUGGCCCGAAAGGGUCGGGUAACCCGCUGAAACUUCUCCGUGAUUGGGAUAGGGAAUUGCAAUUAUUUCCCUUGAACGAGGAAUUCCUAGUAAGCACGGGUCAUAAGCUCGUACUGAUUACGUCCCUGCCCUUUGUACACACCGCCCGUCGCUGCCCGGGACUGAGCCGUUUCGAGAAAAGCGGGGACUGCUGCUGUCGGGGCUUUCGGGCCUUGGCUUCGGUGGAAACCGCUUUAAUCGCAGUGGCUUGAACCGGGCAAAAGUCGUANCA
Molecule: ribosomal RNA, 330 nt
Filed under: uncultured eukaryote
Lineage: Eukaryota
Description: partial 18S ribosomal RNA
Rfam family: Eukaryotic small subunit ribosomal RNA
Source: RNAcentral